UACAGAGGGUGCAAGCGUUAAUCGGAAUUACUGGGCGUAAAGCGUGUGUAGGUGGUAAGGUAAGUUAGAUGUGAAAUCUCUGGGCUCAACCUGGAAAUUGCGUUUAAAACUGCUUUGCUAGAGUAUUGUAGAGGAUAGUGGAAUUUCCAGUGUAGCGGUGAAAUGCGUAGAUAUUGGAAGGAACACCAGUGGCGAAGGCGACUAUCUGGGCAAAUACUGACACUGAGACACGAAAGCAUGGGGAGCAAACAGG
RNAcentral lists this ribosomal RNA (253 nucleotides) under uncultured bacterium. Its description in RNAcentral is "partial 16S ribosomal RNA". It matches the Rfam family "Bacterial small subunit ribosomal RNA", at positions 524 to 776 of the family's 1533-position model. The record is from RNAcentral.